AGUGGAUGGGGAGCAACCUAUGUUGUGCGUGUGUAAAGGUAGUGCCAAGAAAAGCGAUGGUCAUGUUGAAAAUCAAUUCCCGGUACCCGAAACCGACACAGGUGGGCAAGUAGAGAAUACUAAGGGGCGCGAGGUAACUCUCUCCAAGGAACUCGGCAAAAUGACCCCGUAACUUAGGGAGAAGGGGUGCCACCGAGAGGUGGUCGCAGUGAAGAGGCCCAGGCGACUGUUUAGCAAAAACAUAGGUCUCUGCAAACUCGAAAGAGGAGGUAUAGGGGCUGACGCCUGCCCAGUGCCGGAAGGUUAAAGAAGUUGGUCAGUUUUAGGAUGAAGCUAGCAACUGAAGCCCCGGUGAACGGCGGCCGUAACUAUAACGGUCCUAAGGUAGCGAAACUCCUUGUCGGGUAAGUUCCGACCCGCACGAAAGGCGUAACGAUCUGGGCGCUGUCUCGGAGAGAGGCUCGGCGAAAUAGGAUUGUCUGUGAAGAUACGGACUACCUGCAUUUGGACAGAAAGACCCUACGAAGCUUUACUAUAGCUUGGAAUUGUGUUCGGGCUUCCUGUGCGCAGGAUAGGUGGGAGGCGUAGAAGGUAUUCUUGUGGGGAUACUGGAGCCAACGGUGAGAUACCACUCUCAGGAGGCUAGAAUUCUAACUUAAUUAAGGACAGUUUCAGGUGGGUAGUUUGACUGGGGCGGUCGCCUCCAAAAAGGUAACGGAGGCGUACAAAGGUUCCCUCAGACUGGUUGGAAAUCAGUCGAAGAGUGUAAAGGCAGAAGGGAGCUUGACUGCGAGAAGUACAGUUCGAGCAGGGUGGAAACACGGUCUUAGUGAUCCGACGGUGCUGUGUGGAAGGGCCGUCGCUCAACGGAUAAAAGUUACUCUAGGAUAACAGGCUGAUCUCCCCCAAGAGUUCACAUCGACGGGGAGGUUUGGCACCUCGAUGUCGGCUCAUCGCAACCUGGGGCGGAAGUACGUCCCAAGGGUUGGGCUGUUCGCCCAUUAAAGCGGUACGUGAGCUGGGUUCAGAACGUCGUGAGACAGUUCGGUCCAUAUCCGAUGUAGGCGUGAGAAUAUUGAGAGGAGCCUUCCUUAGUACGAGAGGACCGGGAAGGACGCACCGCUGGUGUACCUGUUAUGAUGCCAAUUGUAAACGCAGGGUAGCCAAGUGCGGAGAGGAUAACCGCUGAAAGCAUCUAAGUGGGAAGCCCACCUCAAGAUGAGUAUUCUGGUGUAAGGUCACGGGAAGACGACCCGUAAAUAGGCACGAGGUGGAAGUGCAGAGAUGUAUGAAGCCGAAGUGUACUAAUAGACCGUCGGCUUGACC
RNAcentral lists this ribosomal RNA (1326 nucleotides) under metagenome. RNAcentral describes it as "bacterial LSU rRNA". It matches the Rfam family "Bacterial large subunit ribosomal RNA", at positions 1561 to 2925 of the family's 2925-position model. The record is from RNAcentral.